Vicia villosa (hairy vetch) is the source of this 1447-nucleotide long non-coding RNA. RefSeq lists it as uncharacterized. The transcript has 4 exons. The record is from RefSeq and is a predicted model, not a curated record. NCBI's taxonomy places the organism in Eukaryota, Viridiplantae, Streptophyta, Magnoliopsida, Fabales, Fabaceae.
AGACUUUCCUCUCGUCUUCUCCCUAGCAAACGGCGUCUCCGGUGACCUACCCUCGCCGUCUACGGUGACCUACCCUCGCCGUCUACGGUGACCUACCCUCGCCGUCUUCUAACUCUCCGAUCCGUUAAUCUCUCUUUUCAUCUCAUUUUCACCGAUAUUUCUCUCUUAAUCACCCCAAUCUCCUAAAUCUAAUCUUCAAAGAAAUCCUAGAAUACUUAACCCUAAACUAGAUGCCGAUGAAACAUUCAAACCACGCAAUUGGAAGUAGAAGAACGCUUAAGGGAUUAGAGGCUUACUUGGAGCGAAGAUAAAAACGAAGGGACCGAAAACCAGAGGGAAGAAUUCACGUUCGUCGGCGUGCGAAAUAAACGCACGGAAGUAAAGAGGUUCUUCAGGUGAUUCUUGACUCAGCGCUUCUCACUUCUUCUACUAUUCUUUUUUCUUUUGAUCUUUUCUGAAAUUGUUGUUGUGCGUGAUGGUUGUUGUUGCGGUGGUGCUGAGAUGCGAGGAAUGAAGAUUAGAGAUCGUGAGAUGAUGAGCGGUGAUACCAAUCGGUGUCUUGAAGGUUGGAGAUUAAAGCAAGAUGAAGAUGAUGAAGGUUUCUGAUAGUGUGGUCACGACGUGAAGCUGAGGCGAUGAUGAAGAUAUGGAUGUAUCUGCCGUCGAAAAUUGUUGAGUGAUGGAUGAAUUAAAUCCGCAGAAUGAAGAGGUGAAAAUUCGUGAAGAUGAAUUGGAGGAUUCGGUUGCGAUUUUUUUUUGCCACAGGGCUGGUUUAUUCGUGAUGCAGGGAAUUGUUUCGAGAAUUGAUUGGUGGUUAGAAAAAUAAGAACAUGGUGGUUAGUUCUGUUAUGAAUCGGUUAGAAGAAUGGGUGCAGGGCUGUUUUGAAUAAUUGUUUCUGAACUGAUUUGGAAAUGUGCAGUUAUGGUUUUGGGAAACUGUGGACUAUCGAAAAUGGCUUGGUGGAAGAAGUUGAUGAAGAGUUUUGGUUCUGUUUGGAAUAUUUAGGGCGGCUUCGGAUGUGUUAUGGCGUGGACUGUUUAGUGUGUAUUUUUGUUUUGAUGUAGGUUUGCUCCUGAAUGCUGACUACUCUUGGCGCGAUGAAAUGCCGCGGAUGGAUCGGUGAAUCAAUUAGAAUCAACUAUACAGUCAGGGUGCUGAUAGCUAGAAAAUGAGUUUAGCAAUUCCUGUUAGUGCAAAUGUAUUUACUUGGGGUUUAUUGUGGACUGAAGUGGAUUGGUGGGAAUGCUUUAUGACUGUGUAUUGAAUUGUGGUUCAUAGAUGGACUUCUGUUUGGACUUUGAAAUAUGGUUCUUUGUUUUGUAAUGGGAUGGUAGCUGAGUGGUGUAGGGAGAUACUGUAUGUGAAUUUUGUAGGGACAUGUAAUGUUUAUGCUUUGGCAAAUUUUGUAGGGACAUGUAAUGUUUAUGCUUUGGCUUAUGGAACCGU